UACGAAGGGUGCAAGCGUUACUCGGAAUUACUGGGCGUAAAGGGUGCGUAGGUGGUUUUUAAGUCCGUUGUGAAAUCCCUGGGCUCAACCUGGGAAUGGCAGUGGAUACUGGAAAGCUAGAGUGCGGUAGAGGGUAGUGGAAUUCCCGGUGUAGCAGUGAAAUGCGUAGAGAAUCGGGAGGAACACCAGUGGCGAAGGCGGCUACCUGGACCAGCACUGACACUGAGGCACGAAAGCGUGGGGAGCAAACAGG
RNAcentral lists this ribosomal RNA (253 nucleotides) under uncultured bacterium. RNAcentral's name for it is "partial 16S ribosomal RNA". It matches the Rfam family "Bacterial small subunit ribosomal RNA", at positions 524 to 776 of the family's 1533-position model. The record is from RNAcentral.